Manihot esculenta (cassava) is the source of this 1065-nucleotide long non-coding RNA. RefSeq lists it as uncharacterized. The transcript is spliced from 2 exons. Lineage: Eukaryota; Viridiplantae; Streptophyta; Magnoliopsida; Malpighiales; Euphorbiaceae. The record is from RefSeq and is a predicted model, not a curated record.
GUGAUGAUGGUUCGAACCAAUCCAAACCAUCAUUGCGAAUCUUGGGACGACCUAGCCCACAAUCAUUUUAGAGGGGCUAGGGACGAAAAAUCCCAUUAUUGACCCCUUAAAUACCAUAAUGUUAAAUUUAUGACCACAAUGCCCCCAAAGAAAAAACAGCACCACCAUCAUUCACUUGACCUCAUAUCCUUCAUCACCAUCGUCAUACAAACACCCAAAAAAAAAAAACAUUAAUUUAACCGGCCGCCUUCCAUGCUUACACUUACACAUGCAUGAUUGUUGUGUCAGGAGAGAGAGGCAGUCCCCUCUUACAACCCAUCAAUGCUUUUUACUAUCUCUCUCUCUCUCUCUUCAAGUUUAUUUUCUCACUCUUAGCUAUUUGCUCUAUAUAUUAACAGUCUCUUUGUUCAUUUUGUCCCUCAGUUCUUUCACCAGAUUUUGUUUUCUACACUACUACUGCUGUUAGUUGUAACAAGCCAGCCAGACAGAUAGCUUCCUCGGCCAAGGCUACCAACCACCUUGAAAAGGGGUAUUACAGGCAGUUUGAAAUUUUUUACUUCUUUUCAUUUCCAUGGAAAGACUAAACUCAGAGCUGUACCUGCAAAACUGCUACAUAAUGAAAGAGAAUGAGAAGCUAAGGAAGAAAGCUCAGCGUCUCAACCAGGAGAAUCAAGCACUGUUGUCUGAGCUCAAACAGAAGCUCACCAAGGAUAACUCAAAAGCCAAUGUCUCCAGUAACUCUGUCCUUGACCUCAAUCUCAGUUCCUGUUCCACCCAUAAUCCUACCAAUUCCAGCACUAACUGAUCCAGCUGGAUAGAUUAUCAUGACCCCACUAGGACUCCCUUUGCCUUUUUGGUGUAAAAAAUCAUUGUCCCAACAGUAGUAGUAAUUCCAAUUUCAGUCAUGUAGGACAAUAGAAGUAUCUUCCCACCAGGGUUACUUUUACUUCUAUUUCCAUGUUUAUCUCAUCUUUCUUUUUGGAGGGGUUAAGAUAUGGAUUUCUGAACUAUAUAGCAGGCAAUCUGCUAAAAUUGAAUAUAAUUUUAUCAUAGUUUUACAUUUCA